Triticum dicoccoides is the source of this 671-nucleotide long non-coding RNA. RefSeq lists it as uncharacterized. The record is from RefSeq and is a predicted model, not a curated record. The transcript has 3 exons. Lineage: Eukaryota; Viridiplantae; Streptophyta; Magnoliopsida; Poales; Poaceae.
GUAGUGCGGCCCACACCCUUAAUUUUCUAGGCGAAACUGCCCGCAUGCCCCGCUCAUCUUGUUCAAACUGCUUCUCCCCCCAUUUUCAAAAUCGCUCUGUUUUCUCCGUCCCUCUUGCGACGACGGCCAGCGCGGGGCUGCGUUCGUGGCUUCACCGAGGAUUCGUCGGCGGGGAGGCCGUCCAUGGGCGCGCCGCGGUGGCGGAUAUUGGCGGAGAAUGGCCCGAAAAAGCAAGAGGAUUGCGGGAAGGACUGAUGGCGAAGCUGGAAAUGAGGGAAACGAGGAGCUGGUCCAAACGACAAGCAAUGGUCGAGGAGUAGCGACAUGGGUGGUCGGAACAUGAGCAGUAUUAGAGCCAAUGUCGAGGUCUGGGGACUCACCAACACCCUCCUCCCAACGGAUAUCUUGCUGAUCAUAUGUUGUAUUUAAGAAGGGCGCACCCAACUCAACCAAAAUGUUGACAGACUCUACGUCAGCAGGAGGGUGACAACUAUUAUUGAAGUGGGGAAAAUGCACAUAUGUUAGGUAGAUCUUGGCGCGAGCAGAAGACCUUUUCAUAGUAGUGUAGAUUGUCUGGAUUAGGCAGAUCUUCUCUGCAACGCUGUUACUUUUAUUUUAUUUUAUGAGAGGAUGCAUAUGUACUGGACUAGUUUUUCAAUGCUUUUUGUGUG